Molecule: small nuclear RNA, 107 nt
Organism: Sarcophilus harrisii (Tasmanian devil)
Lineage: Eukaryota; Metazoa; Chordata; Mammalia; Dasyuromorphia; Dasyuridae
Source: Ensembl
GUUCUCUCUUUGUUAGUACACAUACUGAAAUUGGAACAAUAUAGAAAAGAUUAGCAUGAUCAUUACCCAAGGACAACACUCAAAUUUAUGAAGCAUUUCAUAGUUUU